RNAcentral lists this ribosomal RNA (468 nucleotides) under uncultured bacterium. RNAcentral describes it as "partial 16S ribosomal RNA". It matches the Rfam family "Bacterial small subunit ribosomal RNA", at positions 28 to 507 of the family's 1533-position model. The record is from RNAcentral.
GACGAACGCUGGCGGCGUGCUUAACACAUGCAAGUCGAACGGAAAGGCCCUGCUUUUGUGGGGUGCUCGAGUGGCGCACGGGUGAGUAACACGUGAGUAACCUGCCCUUGACUUUGGGAUAACUUCAGGAAACUGGGGCUAAUACCGGAUAGGAGCUCCUGCUGCAUGGUGGGGGUUGGAAAGUUUCGGCGGUUGGGGCUGGACUCGCGGCUUAUGAGCUUGUUGGGGGGGUAGUGGCUUACCAAGGCUUUGACGGGUAGCCGGCCUGAGAGGGUGACCGGCCACAUUGGGACUGCGAUACGGCCCAGACUCCAACGGUAGGCAGCAGUGGGGAAUAUUGCACAAUGGGCGGGAGCCUGAUGCAGCAACGCCGCGUGCGGGAUGACGGCCUUCGGGUUGUAAACCGCUGUCGCCUGUGACGAAGCGUGAGUGACGGUAAUGGGUAAAGAAGCACCGGCUAACUACGUG